This 444-nucleotide ribosomal RNA is filed under the name uncultured bacterium. RNAcentral describes it as "bacterial SSU rRNA". It matches the Rfam family "Bacterial small subunit ribosomal RNA", at positions 330 to 791 of the family's 1533-position model. The record is from RNAcentral.
ACCAGACUCCUACGGGAGGCAGCAGUGGGGAAUAUUGCACAAUGGGGGAAACCCUGAUGCAGCGACGCCGCGUGAGUGAAGAAGUAUUUCGGUAUGUAAAGCUCUAUCAGCAGGGAAGAUAAUGACGGUACCUGACUAAGAAGCCCCGGCUAACUACGUGCCAGCAGCCGCGGUAAUACGUAGGGGGCAAGCGUUAUCCGGAUUUACUGGGUGUAAAGGGUGCGCAGGUGGCAGGGCAAGUCAGAUGUGAAAGCCCGGGGCUCAACCCCCGGACUGCUCUGGAAACUGUACGGCUGGAGUGCAGGAGAGGUAAGUGGAAUUCCUAGUGUAGCGGUGAAAUGCGUAGAUAUUAGGAGGAACACCAGUGGCGAAGGCGGCUUACUGGACUGUAACUGACGUUGAGGCUCGAAAGCGUGGGGAGCAAACAGGAUUAGAUACCCUGUA